Small nucleolar RNA from Phodopus roborovskii (desert hamster), 145 nucleotides. RefSeq annotates it as small nucleolar RNA SNORA8. The transcript has a single exon. Lineage: Eukaryota; Metazoa; Chordata; Mammalia; Rodentia; Cricetidae. The record is from RefSeq and is a predicted model, not a curated record.
CUACACACAUGGUAUCUGACCCAGCAGUCUUCUCCUGUUGGUGUGUUUAAAAGACAGUACAAAAGGAAAUCCACUCUCUGGGAUCAUUGCUUUCCUUGCCUUUGGUUCUUGCUAUGUUUAACCUGGUUCUUCUAAUGAUACAGUU